This is a regulatory RNA element of Streptomyces sp. MMG1121, 139 nucleotides long. The record is from Rfam. NCBI's taxonomy places the organism in Bacteria, Bacillati, Actinomycetota, Actinomycetes, Kitasatosporales, Streptomycetaceae.
CAUCUCAAGGGUCCGUACGCUCCGUUUGUAAUGACGGCCUAAGGAAGCUGGUGAGAUUCCAGCACGGUCGCGCCACUGUGAACAGCCCCACUCAAGGGUGGGGCUGGAGUCAGACACUGGGCCGUCGCGACGCUCCACU